UGGUGUAGCUCAGUUGGUAGAGCAAUUGAUUUGUAAUCAAUCGGUCGGGGGUUCAAGUCCCUCCACC
This 67-nucleotide transfer RNA is filed under the name human gut metagenome. It matches the Rfam family "tRNA". Rfam says of the family: Transfer RNA (tRNA) molecules are approximately 80 nucleotides in length. The record is from RNAcentral.